RNAcentral lists this ribosomal RNA (253 nucleotides) under uncultured bacterium. RNAcentral describes it as "partial 16S ribosomal RNA". It matches the Rfam family "Bacterial small subunit ribosomal RNA", at positions 524 to 776 of the family's 1533-position model. The record is from RNAcentral.
UACGUAGGGUGCGAGCGUUACUCGGAAUUACUGGGCGUAAAGUGUGCGCAGGCGGCUUCGCAAGUCGAGUGUGAAAUCCCCGAGCUUAACUUGGGAAUUGCGCUCGAAACUACGGAGCUGGAGUGUGGCAGAGGAAGGUGGAAUUCCACGUGUAGCGGUGAAAUGCGUAGAGAUGGGGAGGAACACCGAUGGCGAAGGCAGCCUUCUGGGCCAACACUGACGCUCAUGCACGAAAGCGUGGGGAGCAAACAGG